CUGCGGCCCCAACCCCCCCGCCCCCCUCCCUGCGCCCUCACCGGCCAGGGGCUGACCCCGCUGGGAGGCCGGGCUUCAGCCGGGGUUAGGGAGACCCUGCUUCCCGCAGCCCCCUCCCUCCUGGCCGGAGCCCGACGGCUCCCCUCUCCCGGGCAAAGUGGGGGCCGCCUUCCAAGGUGACGGGGCCCCGACGACGCGCGCCCGGCCCGGGCAGGGAGGCCGCCCCCCGCCCCCCGCCCCCCACGGCGGCUCCCCUGCUUGCGGGCGCCGGGCCCUCGGGUGAGGCCGUCUCUGUAGGGGUCGCGGGCGGCGGGGAGGCGGGGGCGGGGUGCGCGGGGAGGCGGCAGGCCCCCCACGCUGGGCUCCCCACGCGCGGCUCCCCACGCUCGGCUCCCCGGCGGCCGCAGCAGGUGGGGGCCCGGGGGCGGGGCCGGCGCGGGGCGGAGCCGGCGGCGGCGGCGGCGGCGGCGGCUGCGGCGAGCGCGGGGCGGGGGCGGGGGCGGGAGCGGAGCCGGAGCCGGAGCCGGAGCCGGGGCGCGGGGCGGGGGGCGGGAGCCGCGAGCCGCGCAGUCCGGACGCCCGCGGGAGCUCGCCGCGCGCCGGGGCCGGGACCUGCCUGGCCGAGCGCGCCGGCGCCGCGACCUCAGACAAAGGCGCCGCCUGCGCCGGGGCCGCCGCGCUCUCGGGCUCCGCUCUGGAAGAGUUCCGUCAUCAGUUCCGGGCACAGGGCUGCUCUCUCCACACAUUCAAGCAGUUCUUGGACACCAGCUGGCUGUCCUGCAGUUCAACUCGAUUCUGCCUCCAUGUCCUGGGACAGAGCAUCAGAUUCCACAGGUUAA
This 839-nucleotide long non-coding RNA is filed under the name Canis lupus familiaris (dog). Its description in RNAcentral is "lncRNA (ENSCAFG00000056383.1)". The record is from RNAcentral. Lineage: Eukaryota; Metazoa; Chordata; Mammalia; Carnivora; Canidae.